Long non-coding RNA from Clupea harengus (Atlantic herring), 1662 nucleotides. Lineage: Eukaryota; Metazoa; Chordata; Actinopteri; Clupeiformes; Clupeidae. The record is from Ensembl.
GUGGUGGCACUCUCUAACGUGGCUGAAAAAGAACCACAGUUUCCUGGAUGAAAGACUACAUAUUUGGAGCUUCAGUCAGCCUUGCGUGGGAGACUGUGUGUGUCCACCUAUAUAGAAGUUUCUCUCUGUACAUACUGCAUGUGCGCUCUAAGUAUGUGUACAACUGGAGUUUUAUUAGUAUGGUUUCAGUGUCAUUGUAACUACUGGUUUUGACAUAGAGUAGGCAAGUUUGGAUGUAUGUGAGUGUAUGUAGUAUAUGGCUGUUUGGGUAUAUGUGAGUGUGUGUAUAUGGCUGUUUAGGGAUGUGUGAGUGUGUGUCCAUGGCUGUUUGGGUAUAUGUGAGUGUGUGUCUGUAGCUGUGACAUGGUACUUCCCACAUCUGGUUCCCAUUAGACUGUGGGUAUAAAAUGGAUUCCUGGCUAUACUGUGAUCACAGACACACUCUCAGCUAUGGAAGCCGCACUCUGGGUCUGUUUGUUCUGCUUGCAGAGCUGCUUACUUGCAGCGGGUCAGAACAGCAUAGAUAUGAGCAGGGACCUCACCAAAGACCAAGAUAUCAUGACACAGACUCGACUGAAAAGGGAAACUAACCUAAGCCAAACUGGAGCUAUUACAGUGAAGGGCAGCCCCAACUUACUCAUACAGGUUGACAGGUCAAGAAGACAUCUGUCCAAUAACAAGCGGAAGCUCAAGCGCAAAUCACGUGUCGGCUCCUUCUCGCUGCUUAGCAACAACAACCCUGCCGCUCCUUUGCAGGUCACUAGGGUGAAGAGAGACGACAGACAGGAAAGUGGGAGGACAACCAGAAGACAACUUGCAAAUAAGAAGCAUAACAAAAUGAUUUGGAAUGGAUUAGACAUGAAAAUAAAAAUGUAGGAAAGCACUAUAUUCAUGUGUAUGACAUCCCAAAGUGUCAUGAAGUAUAUACUCGAAGCACGCACUCUUACUGCAUUUAUUCUUUCAAACAAAGUUGAACUUUUACCACAAUUUAAUACUUUAGAUAUUGUGAUUUUUAGCAUAAUCUUAGUUAACAUUUAUGUAAGCCUAUUCAUAUGCAUUUUCCCAGGAACUUUCCUCUUGUACUGUAGUGUAAUGUAUUAUAAAUAUUUCUUAUGUAGUCAUCUAACUGUCCUGCUUCAUCUAGGUUUCUUCUGUGCCUAAAGAACACAUUUGGUGCAAGCCUCAUUGCUUAGUGAAAUUACUGAUGUUCUGUAUCACAGUCCCAGACCACUAUAAGAUAACAUUUCAUGCAAGAGUAUAACUCGCCUCUUAUCUUAAGUUAGAAAUCAUGUUGAAUAAUUAUAAGUUAUGUUCUGUGAAAGGAUGGUUAGUAAAUGCACUGCAUUUAUAAUUUUUUGGUUUUCUACUGAGGUGCAAACCCUUAGGAACUUGACCAAUUUAGCAACACACACACAAUUUGGAAGCAACCAUAUGUAACCUUUUUGUUUGUAGACCCCAUGACAUCAGAGUUAACUUUUCUGAGCUUUUAGCAUGUUAAGUUUUGAAUGGCACUGAAACAAAAGAUAUGUUAUUUCUUGAUAUUUGUGGUUAUAGUUCAUACUUUGCAGACUUUCUUGAAAAUUGAAUAAAGAGCAUAAUGAGUCAUCCUGCGGUCUGUCUUAAUAUCCAAGGAAACACUUUGUCUGUUCUAUUUGGCAAUAC